Acanthopagrus latus (yellowfin seabream) is the source of this 569-nucleotide long non-coding RNA. RefSeq lists it as uncharacterized. The record is from RefSeq and is a predicted model, not a curated record. The transcript has 2 exons. NCBI's taxonomy places the organism in Eukaryota, Metazoa, Chordata, Actinopteri, Spariformes, Sparidae.
CUUUAAUAUGUUUGUUACACCUUCCACCACGGCUCAUUACAGGUCAAGAUGUUUGUGAUUCAUUAGUUAGCACGUGCAGUCGCUCGUGACAGAUUGCAGCACAUCGCAGCGAGGAAGCACACCUCUAACAGGAGACAGGAAGCCUGCUCGGAGUUCUGGACCUGUUCUGAUGAGCUGAUGUGCCUCCAGGAUGCUCAGCAGCAAACCUCCGACAUCUCCAGCUCCACAUCUGUGACUCAAGUGGCCCAUGAACAGUGUCUGUGCAGUACGGAGGCACAUUCAACUCAUUCAGGCUGUUGAACACAUCUGGAAUAUGAACUAAGCAGGACGACCAGAGCCGGCGCUCACGUUUGCUGCCGCAGGCUCAGUGAAGACGCUCCGCUUGUUAAAUGUUUCAGUGAGCGUCGGACCUGAAGAAGAGACACGACGGAGACACGAUGCACACGAGUGUAAUGUAGCUGUACGAGGUUCAGGCUCUGUUCACAGGUUGUUCGGUUAGUUUUAAUCAUGAAUCUCCUCGAUUAGAUCUGGGAAAAUAUAAUAAACAAGUAAAAAUGUUACAAAUGUGA